Long non-coding RNA from Hydra vulgaris (swiftwater hydra), 330 nucleotides. RefSeq lists it as uncharacterized. NCBI's taxonomy places the organism in Eukaryota, Metazoa, Cnidaria, Hydrozoa, Anthoathecata, Hydridae. The record is from RefSeq and is a predicted model, not a curated record.
AUGUUUAGCCUUAAAAUCAUUUUUACUGAACAUCGUAAUAUCUUAAGAGUACAGAAGUAACCUGAUGAAAAUUAUGAUAGUGACUCACAAGAUUUUAAUGAACAUCAAGAAUUAAAAAAGUCUUGUCUGCAGACACCUGUCUCUGUAUUAAACAAAAGUAAAACGAGAUCGGAAAAAGUGAUCAUAAUUACCUCUGUGAUUAAGGUGAAGGGAGUAGCAGCAAAAAGGAAAGUAGCAAAAAAAGUCUUGUCUGCAGACACCUGUCUCUGUAUUGAAUAAAAGUAAAACGAGAUUGGUAAAAGUGAUCAUAAUUACCUCUGUGAUUAAGGU